ACGAACGCUGGCGGCGUGCUUAACACAUGCAAGUCGAACGGAAAGGCCCUGCUUUUGUGGGGUGCUCGAGUGGCGAACGGGUGAGUAACACGUGAGUAACCUGCCCUUGACUUUGGGAUAACUUCAGGAAACUGGGGCUAAUACCGGAUAGGAGCUCCUGCUGCAUGGUGGGGGUUGGAAAGUUUCGGCGGUUGGGGAUGGACUCGCGGCUUAUCAGCUUGUUGGUGGGGUAGUGGCUUACCAAGGCCUUGACGGGUAGCCGGCCUGAGAGGGUGACCGGCCACAUUGGGACUGAGAUACGGCCCAGACUCCUACGGGAGGCAGCAGUGGGGAAUAUUGCACAAUGGGCGGAAGCCUGAUGCAGCAACGCCGCGUGCGGGAUGACGGCCUUCGGGUUGUAAACCGCUUUCGCCUGUGACGAAGCGUGAGUGACGGUAAUGGGUAAAGAAGCACCGGCUAACUACGUG
Molecule: ribosomal RNA, 467 nt
Filed under: uncultured bacterium
Lineage: Bacteria
Description: partial 16S ribosomal RNA
Rfam family: Bacterial small subunit ribosomal RNA
Source: RNAcentral